This is a non-coding RNA of Globicephala melas (long-finned pilot whale), 519 nucleotides long. NCBI's taxonomy places the organism in Eukaryota, Metazoa, Chordata, Mammalia, Artiodactyla, Delphinidae. The record is from the annotation of a RefSeq genome assembly.
AUGAACUCUUCUCCAGGCUUAGUGACUGUGAUACUCUUAGUGCUUGGACAAACCCGUGAAGACUCAGUGACCCAGAUGGAUGGCCAAAUGACUCUUCCAGAAGGGGCUGCCUUGACCAUAAAUUGCACUUAUUCAGCCACUGGGUACCCCAUUACUUUCUGGUAUGUUCAAUAUCCUGGAGAAGGUCCACAGGUCCUUCUGAAAGCCAUGAAGGACAAUGAGAAGGGAACCAAUAAGGAGUUUGAAGCCACAUACCACAAAGAAUCAAAAUCCUUCCACUUGGAGAAAGCCUCAGUCCAAGAUUCAGAUUCGGCUGUGUACUACUGUGCUCUGAGUGACACAGUGAUGGGAACCGCAGGGGCAGCUGAGCACAAACUCUUUGAGUGGCAACAAGGGGCCUGGAGGCUGAGUGUCUCUCCAUUUGAUCCACUCUGUGGCACAGUCUAUGGUGGUUUGUCCCUCAGUCUCUGGUUGAUACAAAACUCAUACAAAUUUCUAGAGAAUAAGAACAAGAAGUGA